CCUACGGGAGGCAGCAGUGAGGAAUAUUGGUCAAUGGACGAGAGUCUGAACCAGCCAAGUAGCGUGAAGGAUGACUGCCCUAUGGGUUGUAAACUUCUUUUAUAAAGGAAUAAAACGAGGCACGUGUGCCUUUUUGCAUGUACUUUAUGAAUAAGGAUCGGCUAACUCCGUGCCAGCAGCCGCGGUAAUACGGAGGAUCCGAGCGUUAUCUGGAUUUAUUGGGUUUAAAGGGUGCGUAGGCGGGUUAUCAAGUCAGCGGUAAAAUCGUGGAGCUCAACUCCAUCCAGCCGUUGAAACUGAUGAUCUUGAGUGGGCGAGAAGUAUGCGGAAUGCGUGGUGUAGCGGUGAAAUGCAUAGAUAUCACGCAGAACUCCGAUUGCGAAGGCAGCAUACCGGCGCCCGACUGACGCUGAAGCACGAAAGCGUGGGUAUCGAACAGGAUUAGAUACCCGAGUAGUC
This 459-nucleotide ribosomal RNA is filed under the name uncultured bacterium. Its description in RNAcentral is "partial 16S ribosomal RNA". It matches the Rfam family "Bacterial small subunit ribosomal RNA", at positions 338 to 795 of the family's 1533-position model. The record is from RNAcentral.